UUAUACAAGACAUGAGCUUAUUCAAGGUAUACAUUCAUACAAGAUAUAGACUUAUGCAUGGUGUGCAUUCAUAAUAAGCGUACAUUUGUACAAGGCAUAUGUUUGCGUAGGUACGUGUCACUGGCUAUCACACACGCAGACCUGCAGCAGUUUGAAGAGGCUGUUGAGUGCUCCGAGAAGGAACUCGUUUGUCGCCGUGGCAAUGUGACGGAAGAGUGCCGCACUUGGCUGAACAUUGCAGACUACAAAGAUAAAGGUAGCAGGCCAUACAGUGAGAUCAAAGCAGCACUAGACAAAGCACUGCAACAUGCAGAAAUGACCAAUAAUCGUAGCUUGAAGAGACUGGCUCUGGAACACCUCAUCACUGUACAAACGUCAAUGGAGCAAUACCCAUGCAAAAGGUUGAGAGCCAAUGUAGUACCAUCAUCCA
Priapulus caudatus is the source of this 430-nucleotide long non-coding RNA. RefSeq lists it as uncharacterized. The record is from RefSeq and is a predicted model, not a curated record. Lineage: Eukaryota; Metazoa; Priapulida; Priapulimorpha; Priapulimorphida; Priapulidae. The transcript is spliced from 3 exons.